CCCGAAGCGCUGACAUUGCACGAAGCAGACAAGAAGACUCUGUAUUUUAACUGUGUGAAGAGCAUAAACCGGUCCGGACUGUGCGACAGGCUCCCCACUGUGUGGUCCAACAGACUGGGACAAAAUGGACCGGGCCCACAGUGGAGGAUUUUAUACAAACCUCCCCUCAAGAAACGGACUGCCGACCUCCAGUGGAGAAUUUUACACGGUGCUGUCGCCUCCAACGCUUUUAUUUCUGUUAUUAAUCCCACUGUUCUGAGCAAAUGCCCCUUCUGUGACCUCCGAGAGACUAUUUAUCAUGUUUUUACAGAGUGCAAGAGACUUGCGAGUUUCUUCUCUCUUUUAACAUCGGUUUUUAGUCUUUUUAAUGUGGUUUUUACUGAAAAGAUUUUUAUCAUGGGAGCUGCCUACAAAAAAGCAGAAAAAGAAAAAUGGCAGCUCCUCAACUAUCUUUCAGGGGAAGCCAAAAUGGCCAUUUAUCUAAGCAGGAAGGCCAGAGCAGUGUGGCUGGUGAACAUCAGGGCCAGGCUCUGGCUAGAGUUCCGCUUUUAUAAACACAUUGGAGACGUAGACACUUUUAAACAACGUUGGUGUUUUAAUAAUGUUGUGUGCUCAGUGGAAAAGAAUGAAUUGGUGUUUGCUCCUGUUUUUAUGGCAUGAAAUAUAAUUUUGCUUUGUUUGUUUUGUUUUGGUUUUUUUGUUGCUUUGUCUUGGUUUUUUUAACAAAGGAAGGAAAUCUGUGACCUUUUUUAACACAUUGACAAGUUGUUGAAAUAUGUCAAAUAAAUUGUUUUUCUAAAAAAUAAAAAAAAAUCUCUCUCUCUCUCUCUCUCCCUCUCCCUCUCCCUCUCCCUCUC
This is a long non-coding RNA of Gasterosteus aculeatus aculeatus (three-spined stickleback), 857 nucleotides long. Lineage: Eukaryota; Metazoa; Chordata; Actinopteri; Perciformes; Gasterosteidae. The record is from Ensembl.